CGCUCUUUGAUUAUUUUAUAUAAAGAGUCGAGCCUGCCCAGUGAUUUUAUUUAACGGCCGCGGUACUCUGACCGUGCAAAGGUAGCAUAAUCAUUUGCCUUAUAAUUGAAGGCUAGAAUGAAUGGUUUGACAAGAAUAGUACUGUCUCCAUAUAAAUUUUAUAAAAUUUGGUUUUUAGGUGAAGAAACCUAAAUGGUAUUGAAAGACAAGAAGACCCUAUCGAGCUUAAAAUAAUUUAUUUGAAAUUUGUUAAUAUCAGCUUCAGGUAAAAAUUUUGGUUGGGGCGACUAAGGAAUAUAAAAAGCUUCCUAUAAAAUUUAGAAACUUUUAUGUUUUGAUCCAAAAAUUUUGAUUAACAGAAUUAGUUACCGUAGGGAUAACAGCAUAAUCUUUUUUGAGAGUUCUUAUCGAAAAAAAGGUUUGUGACCUCGAUGUUGGACUAGGAUAUUCAGAAAGGUGCAGAAGCCUUCAAUGGUUGGUCUGUUCGACCAUUAAAAUCCUACA
This 504-nucleotide ribosomal RNA is filed under the name Josefus aitanica. RNAcentral describes it as "partial large subunit ribosomal RNA". It matches the Rfam family "Bacterial large subunit ribosomal RNA", at positions 1817 to 2600 of the family's 2925-position model. Lineage: Eukaryota; Metazoa; Mollusca; Gastropoda; Littorinimorpha; Hydrobiidae. The record is from RNAcentral.